This is a long non-coding RNA of Etheostoma spectabile (orangethroat darter), 342 nucleotides long. RefSeq lists it as uncharacterized. NCBI's taxonomy places the organism in Eukaryota, Metazoa, Chordata, Actinopteri, Perciformes, Percidae. The transcript is spliced from 2 exons. The record is from RefSeq and is a predicted model, not a curated record.
UGAUGCUAGGUUGAGACUGAGAGCAGGUUGCACCGCCACCGACAUUAACCAUGGUCGACGCACUUUGUUUAAAUGGUUCAUCAUUUGAGUCGUGGCCGUGUUGUACUUAUAACCCGGCAUUGCAUUGUUUGCAAGUUUUUAAAAUCAAAAUGGUCCCACGCCACACGUCGCCGUGAUCUCUUCAUGAUUCAUUUUGAAAUCAAAACCGAUACUCGCAGGUAACUGAGUAUGGUGUCAAACAUUGCCCCCGGGUGGUAAAACGGUUAACUGCUGCCACACGAUGAAAUUCAUUUCAUUGCUUCAGGACUCACACUACGCAACGCAACCUGCAUUAGUUUAAUC